Long non-coding RNA from Balaenoptera acutorostrata (minke whale), 1850 nucleotides. RefSeq lists it as uncharacterized. The record is from RefSeq and is a predicted model, not a curated record. The transcript is spliced from 6 exons. NCBI's taxonomy places the organism in Eukaryota, Metazoa, Chordata, Mammalia, Artiodactyla, Balaenopteridae.
UUGUCUUACUCAACAUUAUUGUGCUUUCUUGUUUGUUAUUCCAUUUGUUGCAGUGAAGUAGGCUUUGGAAAAACCAUUAACUUCUUUCCCUGCAUGUGGCUCUUCCCCAUCUUUCUUCAUUGGCUUUUUCCGCAAUAGCAUCAACAAGGGUCAAGACUGAAAAGCAUACACUCAACUUUAAAGGACUAAGACUCCGUUUGAACCAGCAGGUAGGGCCACAGCUCUGAGCACCACCGCCCCCUGCUGGGCUACCGAUUCCCUUCACGUUUCAACACCAAGAAGUUUAAGAACAAGAUGACCAGCGUCAGCAUAUAAGAAGACUGGAAGAUGAGACAGCCGAAGGGGAAGCCGCAGGGCCUCACGACAGCACUCAUGGUGUGGGUGACGGUGAGCACGAACUGCACCUGCAGGGGCGGCAAGGGCGGAACCACUCUGCAGUCAGGCAGUGAGAAAUCGACUGCUCGUACUCCCUGCAUCUUGCAGGGGUAAAACAAACAAGACAACGCUGAAGCAGCCCACCGUCCUAUCCAGAAAUCUCGUUUGAAAUGAGGAAGUGUAUAAAAUUGGCCAUGAUUAAUUUUCUCCUGGAAAAAUCACAGUUGAAAUCAUUCAGUCCAUUUUUAGAGGAAAACAGGCAGCCUCAUCACACACAGAAAAGCCUCUGACCUCCAGGGCUGGGACUGAGGCCAUGCGGAUGCUUCACAUGGAGAAAAGCCGACAGAGGGAUGACAUACCAGCUGAGCCUGCGUGAGAUACUUCUUCCACCAAAGAUACUUGUGCAUAGAUGGAAACACCGAAAGGCCAUAAUGACCGCUGUCUAGGAUCCAUUACUUCACUAGAAGCUGCAAAAUGGCACUGUACCGGAAGCACGGUCUGCGGGCUGCUCUUUUCCACUGAGCUACGUCCUGGAGAUGAUUCGGUAACAGGACAGCGGUCAUCCUCAUCCCACUUUGCAAAGGGACCCACUGCGUGGAUGCACCAUGGUUCAUUCAGUCUGUCCCCCAAGUAAGCACUUCUACUAGGACGGGAGACCGUUUCUUAUCUAACCCCAGCUUCCAUCGUCGUAUCUGGAAGGAGAAACGGUUACAGAUGGUUGACUCACCCGGAUAUCGGCUUCCCCUGCACUGGUAAGGUCCUGACACUGUAAGUUGUAGCCUCCUUCCCAACUGGAGAGAAUAAGCUGUCAAAGAAACAAGGGGAGAAAAAAAAGUCAAUGUGAGACUUUGGACGAAAACUGAAUUUCCCAUUCAUGUUUCUGAUUGGCGUCUACUCAAGAUUGAGUUCUUCCCAGAAUGAGUUUGACUCGAUCCUGUCCCCAAACACAUGAUACCAAAGGAUCUAAUUCUUGCUGUUGAACUGAUAUCAAUGGUUACAAUCCUUAGUUAAUAUAAUUUACUUCUAACCUCCACAUCCAUCAAAAACAGAAUUUAGCUAUCAUUUGAGUACCAAAAUAUUUUAUGUAAGGAAUUUAUCUAAUCAUAUGUUCUAUAAAUAAAAUGUAGAAGUAAAAUGUAAACAAAUGUGAGGAAACUACACUAAAAUGUUAAAACUUUACAUUGGCUUAUAUAUAAAUAGUUACUUGAUCAUCUCAGUAAUUUUAUGAAUUAUGUAUUUACUACCAUUUUACAGAUGUGAAAACCAGGGCUCAGAAACAUUAAAUCAUUUUCUUCAUUUUAUUUAUGCAAUGUGGUAACCAGACAUUUGUGCGAUUGUAACUGAUUAACAUCUGUUUUCCCCAUUAUGCUCAAAAAACAAAGUGCUCCAUAAAGUCUACGCCUCCUUCUUUGCUCAUCUUCGCAUCUACACUUCCUUGCCCAAUGACUGGCAUGGAGAAAGUGCUCAAUGACUAU